This is a non-coding RNA of Paramisgurnus dabryanus, 1730 nucleotides long. NCBI's taxonomy places the organism in Eukaryota, Metazoa, Chordata, Actinopteri, Cypriniformes, Cobitidae. The record is from RefSeq and is a predicted model, not a curated record.
GAAAAGCAGUAGGCGAGGCGAGCAGUAUGUCCGAAUACGUAAGCCGUUUCUCAAUGUCAAGGAUACUUCCUUGGCAGGACUAGUCCUUAAAAGUCUUCCUUCCUUCAGAGGCUAGGCGAGGCUCCUUUUAAGCAUUCGGAGAACAAGUUAAAUGGAACAGGCUAGCAAGUGCACGUCAUUGCGUGAUUGAAAGGUGUGCUUUCGGUGCUGCGCGCAUAGGAUUGUGUGUGAUUUCAGCGCGUGAAGAGCGCGAAGGAUACAAAUUUGCAUCCUUUCCUGUAUAUGGGAUAUUUCUCAAACGAAGGACUCAGUCCUUGGCUGAAAUUUCGAGGAUCCUCGACAUUGGAACAGUCCUUCGAAUGCCAGAGCACCGUGGAGCAUUUUCCUGUUCUAAUCGGCAGACCAUCGCAAAUAGAGCCCGGAGGAUUAUUUUCACAAGUACUUUUUACAUUGCGUCAUUCGUAUAAAGGACCAACAUGGACCAGUAUUUAUUUCAUGCUGCCCUUCGGCAGUACCUACUAAGUGGGAUGUCGAUGUCGCGGUUGACUGGAAGAGAGUCAUGCAGGUGGCCAACCACUUCGUUGUAGAUGCAUAGUUGAAGCAGACCUGUCAGAAAACAUCUCUAAGGUGCUAUGAAUCCUAUGACUAGAUACGCAUCCUAAAAUUACUAGAGGUUACGGAAGCUCCUUUUUGGAUCCAGCUUCAUUUGUGAAGACUUCAGAUGAUGCCAACACUCCCAGAGACUUAAGACGAUGGCAACAAUAGAUGAAGCAACACUCACAAAGACUUUAGAUGAUGGCAACUAUAGAUGGACAUACAAAAUUGCCAAAUAUAAUAUUGUAAUUACUGCCCCAAAGCGCAAGUUUGCAGAUUUUUAACCCACUUUAUAUUGUUACAAAUACAAUAGAUGCUAACAUUUGACCAGAAAAUGUUUCCUCUUUAUUCUUGAGUUAAUUGUGCUGAUUUAUUCCCAUUUUUUUAUCUACAAUACUUUGCCAAAAUGAUGUUUUGCAUCAUCCAAAUGGUUCAUUUACAAAUUACAGACAUCGUAACAACACAAAGUGGGUUAUAAUUCUGCCAACUUACCCUAUAAUAAUAAUAAUUGUCUUUUAACUGAACAUGACUUUAAAGACAUGACUUGUAUUAUCUUAGAGCUAUUGUGAAAUUAAUAUUGGUUAUGUUUCCAGAAUAUUCUCCUCAGUGAGUCACUGUUACCUCGGACUGAUUAAGGGAUUUUUUGUAACCUUGAAACAUGCAUUGGUUUUACUAUGGUCAAACUGCAGAUCUUAUUUCAAACCAAGGUUUUGUUACCAUGGUUCUACUACAGUAACAUUAUAGUAAUGCUGGAGUGAAACUGUGGUAACCAUAUUAUUUUAAAUCAUGGUAAAGUUUGUGGUUACUAAAAUGCACUACUAUAUGCUGGUUUAAGAGCAUGAUUAUUUUUUAUUUAUUAAUAAACCAUGGUUGACUUUAUAUUUACCGUGGUUUUACUGCAAAUUAUGGUAAAAAAAUUAUAGAUAACUUUUGCAUGGGUACAGAAAAAAAGUGUAAACUGAAUGUUUCUAUUUGUAAGUCACGUUGGUUAAAUGCAUCUGAAAAAUGUAAAUGGAUUUGUAUAUUUAUUCUGUUUACUGAAAAUAAUAAAUUUGCAGUUGCUAUUGUAUAUUGUUUAUUAUUGUGUUGAAAGACAUUUUGGUUAGAGUGAUUAAACGAUUAUAAACCAUGAGCCG